UUGCUGAAGUACAAUGCGUACCUCUCCCCCCGAGAUUUAUUGAGAGCGGUGAAGUGAACAUAGUGCAAGUUACAUAAGAUUAAUAGCGUUUCAAUGGUAUCACCUGUUUUCCAGCUUUCAGACUGUAUGGACACUCCCUGGAUAGGUCAUCCUUCCACAGUGAGGUGGUACAAGGCGUGGCUGGAGUUUUGCAACCUGGAGGCGGAUACGAGUCUAAUUUCCAUUCGCUCUAAGGUCCUGUGCUCCCAGCACUUCGCACCAGUUGCUUAUUUGCGCACAGGAAGGCUUCGGUGGGAUGCAGUUCCUACAUUGAAGCGCACACUGCAUGGCGUUGGAGGAAGUAGUGCCUACGCCAAUCAGAGCAGACUUGAAAGCAGUGGGCCUUCAACGGAGGAACGUGUGCAAGCUGUGGUAGCCUGCGAUGACGACAGUACAGGAGCAAUACAC
This is a long non-coding RNA of Ornithodoros turicata, 447 nucleotides long. RefSeq lists it as uncharacterized. The transcript has 3 exons. The record is from RefSeq and is a predicted model, not a curated record. NCBI's taxonomy places the organism in Eukaryota, Metazoa, Arthropoda, Arachnida, Ixodida, Argasidae.